GGUGCAUGGUUGUCGUCAGCUCGUGUCGUGAGAUGUUCGGGUUAAGUCCCGCAACGAGCGCAACCCUCGACCUUAGUUGCCAGCAUUCAGUUGGGCACUCUAAGGUGACUGCCGGCUAAAAGUCGGAGGAAGGUGGGGAUGACGUCAAAUCAUCAUGCCCCUUAUGACCUGGGCUACACACGUGCUACAAUGGGCGGUACAAAGGGUCGCGAACCCGCGAGGGGGAGCCAAUCCCAAAAAGCCGCUCUCAGUUCGGAUUGCAGGCUGCAACUCGCCUGCAUGAAGCCGGAAUCGCUAGUAAUCGCGGAUCAGCAUGCCGCGGUGAAUACGUUCCCGGGCCUU
RNAcentral lists this ribosomal RNA (342 nucleotides) under uncultured Anoxybacillus sp. RNAcentral's name for it is "bacterial SSU rRNA". It matches the Rfam family "Bacterial small subunit ribosomal RNA", at positions 1040 to 1382 of the family's 1533-position model. The record is from RNAcentral. Lineage: Bacteria; Bacillati; Bacillota; Bacilli; Caryophanales; Anoxybacillaceae.